UNUGAAGUUAAAGGCUGUGGCUUAACCAUAGUNCGCUUUGGAAACUGUUUAACUNGAGUGCAAGAGGGGAGAGUGGAAUUCCAUGUGUAGCGGUGAAAUGCGUAGAUAUAUGGAGGAACACCGGUGGCGAAAGCGGCUCUCUGGCUUGUAACUGACGCUGAGGCUCGAAAGCGUGNGGAGCAAACAGGAUUAGAUACCCUGGUAGUNCACGCCGUAAACGAUGAGUGCUAGGUGUUAGACCCUUUCCGGGGUUUAGUGCCGUAGCUAACGCAUUAAGCACUCCGCCUGGGGAGUACGACCGCAAGGUUGAAACUCAAAGGAAUUGACGGGGGCCCGCACAAGCGGUGGAGCAUGUGGUUUAAUUCGAAGCAACGCGAAGAACCUUACCAGGUCUUGACAUCCCUCUGACCGUUCUAGAGAUAGAGCUUUCCUUCGGGACAGAGGUGACAGGUGGUGCAUGGUUGUCGUCAGCUCGUGUCGUGAGAUGUCGGGUUAAGUCCCGCAACGAGCGCAACCCCUAUUGUUAGUUGCCAUCAUUUAGUUGGGCACUCUAGCGAGACUGCCGGUAAUAAACCGGAGGAAGGUGGGGAUGACGUCAAAUCAUCAUGCCCCUUAUGACCUGGGCUACACACGUGCUACAAUGGCUGGUACAACGAGUCGCAAGCCGGUGACGGCAAGCUAAUCUCUUAAAGCCAGUCUCAGUUCGGAUUGUAGGCUGCAACUCGCCUACAUGAAGUCGGAAUCGCUAGUAAUCGCGGAUCAGCACGCCGCGGUGAAUACGUUCCCGGGCCUUGUACACACCGCC
This 805-nucleotide ribosomal RNA is filed under the name uncultured bacterium. RNAcentral describes it as "bacterial SSU rRNA". It matches the Rfam family "Bacterial small subunit ribosomal RNA", at positions 588 to 1394 of the family's 1533-position model. The record is from RNAcentral.